AAAGUUUCAACAACGGAUCUCUUGGCUCUCGCAUCGAUGAAGAACGCAGCGAAAUGCGAUAAGUAAUGUGAAUUGCAGAAUUCAGUGAAUCAUCGAAUCUUUGAACGCACCUUGCGCUCCUUGGUAUUCCUUGGAGCAUGCCUGUUUGAGUAUCAU
This 156-nucleotide ribosomal RNA is filed under the name Ceratorhiza oryzae-sativae. RNAcentral's name for it is "5.8S ribosomal RNA". It matches the Rfam family "5.8S ribosomal RNA". From Rfam's summary of the family: 5.8S ribosomal RNA (5.8S rRNA) is a component of the large subunit of the eukaryotic ribosome. Lineage: Eukaryota; Fungi; Basidiomycota; Agaricomycetes; Cantharellales; Ceratobasidiaceae. The record is from RNAcentral. RNAcentral also lists the same sequence under 1 other name.